UACGAAGGGGGCUAGCGUUGCUCGGAAUCACUGGGCGUAAAGCGCACGUAGGCGGUCUCUUAAGUCGGCGGUGAAAUCCUGGAGCUCAACUCCAGAACUGCCUUCGAUACUGAGAGUCUUGAGUCCGGGAGAGGUGAGUGGAACUGCGAGUGUAGAGGUGAAAUUCGUAGAUAUUCGCAAGAACACCAGUGGCGAAGGCGGCUCACUGGCCCGGUACUGACGCUGAGGUGCGAAAGCGUGGGGAGCAAACAGG
This 253-nucleotide ribosomal RNA is filed under the name uncultured bacterium. RNAcentral describes it as "partial 16S ribosomal RNA". It matches the Rfam family "Bacterial small subunit ribosomal RNA", at positions 524 to 776 of the family's 1533-position model. The record is from RNAcentral.